Molecule: ribosomal RNA, 253 nt
Filed under: uncultured bacterium
Lineage: Bacteria
Description: partial 16S ribosomal RNA
Rfam family: Bacterial small subunit ribosomal RNA
Source: RNAcentral
UACGGGGGGGGCAAGCGUUGUUCGGAAUUACUGGGCGUAAAGGGCUCGUAGGCGGCCAAGUAAGUCAGACGUGAAAUCCCCAGGCUCAACCUGGGAACUGCGUCUGAUACUGGAUGGCUUGAAUCCGGGAGAGGGAUGCAGAAUUCCAGGUGUAGCGGUGAAAUGCGUAGAUAUCUGGAGGAAUACCGGUGGCGAAGGCGGCAUCCUGGACCGGCAUUGACGCUGAGGAGCGAAAGCCAGGGGAGCAAACGGG